Molecule: ribosomal RNA, 497 nt
Filed under: uncultured Glomeromycotina
Lineage: Eukaryota; Fungi; Glomeromycota
Description: partial small subunit ribosomal RNA
Rfam family: Eukaryotic small subunit ribosomal RNA
Source: RNAcentral
CCAAUAGCGUAUAUUAAAGUUGUUGCAGUUAAAAAGCUCGUAGUUGAAUUUCAGGCCUGGCUGGACGGUCCGCCUUUUGGGUGAGUACUGUCUGUGGUCGGGUCCUACCUUCUGGCGAAGCGUCAUGGCCUUAACCGGCCGUGGCGGGGAACCAGGACUUUUACUGUGAAAAAAUUAGAGUGUUCAAAGCAGGCAAUCGCUUGGAUACAUUAGCAUGGAAUAAUGGAAUAGGACAAUGGUUCUAUUUGUUGGUUUCUAGGACCGUUGUAAUGAUUAAUAGGGAUAGUUGGGGGCAUUAGUAUUUAAUUUUCAGAGGUGAAAUUCUUGGAUUUAUUGAAGACUAACUACUGCGAAAGCCUUUGCCAAGGAUGUUUUCAUUAAUCAAUAACGAAAGUUAGUGGAUCGAAGACGAUCAGAUACCGUCGUAGUCUUAACCAUAAACUAUGCCGACUAGGAAUCGGGCGAUGUUGACAAAAUGACGCGCUCGGCACCUCAUG